Molecule: non-coding RNA, 72 nt
Organism: Hirsutella rhossiliensis
Lineage: Eukaryota; Fungi; Ascomycota; Sordariomycetes; Hypocreales; Ophiocordycipitaceae
Source: the annotation of a RefSeq genome assembly
GCCUUAGUAGUUUAAGGGUAAAAACACUAACUUUAUAUAUUAGUAAUAAAAGUUCGAUUCUUUUCUAAGGCU